Molecule: small nucleolar RNA, 142 nt
Filed under: Chlamydomonas reinhardtii
Lineage: Eukaryota; Viridiplantae; Chlorophyta; Chlorophyceae; Chlamydomonadales; Chlamydomonadaceae
Description: CrACA54a snoRNA
Source: RNAcentral
CUGCGCACACACUCCCAGGCGGAUAGUCCCAAUGGGGCCCUGAACCGUUUGGAUUAACCGGCGCAGUCAGUAACAUUGGGCCAUAUGAUAGCGGUUGCGCCAUACCUUUGCGCUGUCCGCAUAGCUCCAGGACCAUACAGCU